UUUUUUUUUUGAGACGGAGUUUCGCUGUUGUUACCCAGGCUGGAGUGCAAUGGCACGAUCUCGGCUCACCGCAACCUCCGCCUCCUGGGUUCAAGCAAUUCUCCUGCCUCAGCCUCCCGAGUAGCUGGGAUUACAGGUGCGCACCACCAUGCCCAGCUAAUUUUUUGUAUUUUUAGUAGAGACGGGGUUUCACCUUGUUGAUCAGGAUGGUCUCGAUCUCUUGACCUCGUGAUCCACCCGCCUCGGCCUCCCAAAGUGCUGGGAUUACAGGCGUGAGCCACCGCGCGCAGCGGUCCUCUUCACUUUUGCUUUGCUCUCUCCAACCUCUAAGCCUUAGGGAACUAUCACAGAUCUUGCAGAAAGAAAACACACUGCUCUCUUGCAUGCACACUUAACGCUAACUUAAACUUUAGGAUUUCUACCAAAGCUUGAAGCUCUUCUUUUUUCCCACAUUGCUGAGAGACUAGGUUGAUUUAUUUUUUGCACCAGAUGGGUCUCAGCUGGAGACCACCCCAGAAGGGAAUGGGGGUCCCAUCUGGGGUGCCAAUAUGUUGGAAACAGAAGCUCAGUGCCACAAAGGAAAAUUGGCACUGAGACAAAGGAUCUUUCGGCAACACAAUUUUUACUUCCUGGACUGUAGAAAGGGUACCCUCACUAGCCAUCUUACCACAAAGGGGCUCAUCCAACAGACUUGAUUGAGUUGAUGCUGGAACAAGAACGAUCCAAGAGGGCCGAUCGCUAACAUCCCGGGAUUGCAGCUCUCAGUGAAGGCGCAGAGAACCAGAAGACGCCACACUUUCAGACAAAUUCUGGUCACUCACGGAGCAGAAGAUCCCCAGUGGAGGAAACACAUGGGUCACCAGCACGACUCUCGUGGCCGGCGCAGCAGUUCCGCUGGCACCUCGGCACGGCAGCUCUCGGAGCAGAGUAAACAGGUUUGGAGGACCCGCACGGGCCCCCAGCACAACACCAGAGCCCGGUGCAGCGGCUGUGGCGGCACCUCAGCGCGGCAGCACUCGGCGCAGAGUAAAUGGACCGGUUCCCCUUCUGACCAAGGUUUGGAGCCCCGGGAAGGCAGAGUCGCCUACUACAGACACAAAAAGGAAGCCAGACAGGAGAAUCCUGGGCAGAAAAGCACCAUCAGUUUUAACGCCGCUGCUCUGGCCCUGGGAACUAACAACCUGGACGCCCACUCAAGAGACCUAAUCUGAAAGCUGGUAAAUUCAAAGACGACAGGAGGAUAAAUUUACAAUGACGGGAAGAAACCAGCGUAAAAAAGCUGAGAAUACUCAAAGUCAGAACACCUCUCCCUCUAAAGAUGAUCACAGUUCCACAUCAACAAUGGAACAAGGCUUGAUGGAGAAUGAGCGCAUCCCAAUAACAGAAUCACUCUUCAAGGAAUGGAUAAUAACAAACUUCGGUGAGUUAAAAGAACAUGUUGUAGCCCAAUGUAAAGAAACUAGGAACUUUGAAAAAAGGUUUGAUGAAAUCCUAUUGAGAAUAGACAACUUAGAGAGGAGUAUGAGUGAAAUAAUGGAACUGAAGAUACAAUACAGGAACUCCGAGAAAUAUGCACAGGUUUAAACACUCGAAUUGUUCAAGCAGAAGAAGGGAUAUCAGAGGUCAAAGUCCAACUUAAUGAAAUAAAACGUGAAGAAAAGAUUAGAGAAAAAAGGAUAAAAAGGAAUGAGCAAAGUCUCCAAGAAAUGUGGGACUAUGUGAAAAGACCAAAUUUACGUUUGAUAGGUGUACCUGAAUGUGACGGAGAGAAUGAAUCCAAGCUGGAAAAUACCCUUCAGAAUAUUAUUCAGGAAAAUUUUCCUAAACUAGCAAAGCAGGUCAAUAUUCAACCCCAGGUAAUACAGAAAACACCACAAAGAUAUUCCUCAAGAAGAGCAACCCCAAGGCACAAAAUCAUUAGAUUCACCAGGGUUGAAAUGAAGGAGAAAAUACUAAGAGCAGCCAGAGAGAAAGGUCAGGUUACCCACAAAGGCAAGCCUAUCAGACUUACAGCAGAUCUCUCAGCAGAAACUCUACAAGCCAGAAGAGAGUGGGGGCCAAUAUUCAACAUCCUCAAAGAACAGAACCUUCAGCCCAGAAUUUCAUAUCCAGCCAAACUAAACUUCACAACUGAAGGAAAAAUAAAAUAUUUUAUGAACAAGCAAGAACUCAGAGAUUUUAUUACCACCAGGCCUGCUUUACAAGAGCUUCUGAAAGAAGCAUUACACACAGAAAGAAACAACCAGUAUUAGCCUUUCUAAAAAUAUACCAAAAUGUAAAGAGCACCAACAUAAAGAAGAAUUUACACCAACGAAUGGAUAAAACAGCCAGUCAACAUCAAAUGGCAGUAACCCUAAAUUUAAAUUGACUAAAUCCCCCAAUCAAAAGACACAGCCAAAACCCAACGGCAUGUUACAUCCAGACCUGUUUCACAUGCAAGGAUACACAAAGACUCAAAACAAAGGGAUAGAGAAAGAUUUACCAACCAAAUGGAGAGCAAAAAUAAAUAAUAAAUAAAUAAAAAGCAGGAGUUGCAAAUCUCGUAUCGGAUAAAAUAGAUUUUAAAGCAACAAAGAUACAGUGGUAAAAGGAUCAAUGCAACAACAAGAGCUAACGAUCUUAACACCCAGAUACAUAAAGACUUAGACUCAAUGAGACAGAAAAUUAAUAAGGAUAUCAAGGACUCGAACUCAGAUCUGGAACAAGUAAACUUAAUAAAUAUUUAUAGAGCUCUCCACUUCAAAUACACAAAAUAUACAUUCUUGUCAAUACCACAUCACACCUACUCAUAAGUUUAAAUGAAACAUUGAUUGGCCAUUAUUAAUACCCAAUUUUUUUCAGAAUAAAGCAAUAUUUCCAUUUACUCUCCCUCUUUCUCUUCCUCUUUCUUCCUCUCCUUUACUUAUUUUCUUUUUCUUUCCUUCUCUCAAAAAAAGAAAUCAACUUGUAAACCUCUAGAUCCAGGUCGGCAAUGUCUCUCUCAUUGCUUGAUUUCCUUCUUUCCCUUCCCUCCCUCCCUCUCCCCUUCUUCCUUUCCUUCCUUCCUUCAUCCCCACUGUCCUCCUUCCCUCCCUUCCUGCCUUCCUCCCAAAAAAAAAAAAAUUUGUUUAAUUUCUAUGUAGAUUCUGGGUAUUAGCCCUUUGUCAGAUUUGCAAAACUGGCUAGCCAUAUGCAGAAAGCUGAAACUGGAUCCCUUCCUUACAGCUUAUACAAAAAUUAACUUGACAUGGAUUAAAGACUUAAACAUAAGCCCUAAAACCAUAAAAACCCUAGAAGAAAACCGAGGUAAUACCAUUCAGGACAUAGGCAUGGGCAAAGACUUCAUAACUAAAACACUGAAAGCAAUGGCAACAAGCAAAAUAGACAAAUGGGAUCAAAUUAGACUAAAGAGUCUAAUUGCAAAAGAAACUAUCACCAGACUGAACAGGCAGCCUACAGAAUGGGAGAAAAUAUUUGCAACCUCUUCUCUAUAUUCAACAUGGUUAUGGGUGUGAAAAAUUAUGUAAAGCACUUAGCACCAAUUUAUUGAUCACCUACUGUAUAUAUGCCAGAUACUAGCCAACAUCUAAAGCUGGAGCUGGAUAUAAAUUUGAAUAAGUAAAGCAGGAGGCACUGAGAGAGGGAAACUCCAGCUUCCGCCAAAAAAAUGAGACUAGUGGGCUUUACACUCAAACUGUGUUAAAAUGUCUGUCCCUUUAAUAGCUGGGUGAACCUCAGUUUCCUCAUCAAUAACACUGGGAUAAUCAUAUUUCGUAAAGCCUAAGGAAUAAGGAAAUCCCUGUACUGAAGCCCUCAUUACAAAUCCUGACACUCCUGCAUUGUGGAAUGUUCAGACAAAAAAUAAUAAUAAUAAUAAAAAAAACAAA
Molecule: non-coding RNA, 3866 nt
Organism: Callithrix jacchus (white-tufted-ear marmoset)
Lineage: Eukaryota; Metazoa; Chordata; Mammalia; Primates; Cebidae
Source: RefSeq, a predicted model, not a curated record